UUAUGCUGCUAGAAGCUCCGCCAUCUUCACGGCCGUCGUGGUCCAGCAGCGCCGCACAAAUCGACGCAUUGCCGUACAUCGACGACGAGUACGGCGACCACAAAGUCAAAGCGGAGGUUGACCGUUUAAUCGAAGAAGAAAUGCGUCGUAGUGCUAAACGACCGUCUGAUUAUCUUAAAGACCUCCCUCCUGUUGCCAAAUUCAACUUUGAGAUCCACUGAUACUCCGGCGACCGGUGUUGUUGCUCGCUUCGCCGUUAGGGCUCACCAGGUAAUAGUGAUGAAUUUCAGUUGAGAGAUGAUGGUGCACUUCAUGAUUUGCCUGCAAUUCUCUUGCUCUUCAAAGUUCCAGCUAAGUUUAUAUUUUGAUUCAGAAUUUGUCGCUUCUUUAUUUUGUAUUUAGGUUUACUAAUUUGGUCAUUAUAUUUUGUGUAUGUGUUCUUGGAAGGAAAUAAGAUCUCUUAUACUAAUUUGGGUUUUUAUUUUCUUAAGAUAGCACUUUCAUGGGGGAAUUUAAGUUCAAAAGGCACUGAGACUUAAUAUGUUCUUGAUGAUGGAAAUGUGAA
This is a long non-coding RNA of Helianthus annuus (common sunflower), 565 nucleotides long. RefSeq lists it as uncharacterized. The transcript is spliced from 3 exons. NCBI's taxonomy places the organism in Eukaryota, Viridiplantae, Streptophyta, Magnoliopsida, Asterales, Asteraceae. The record is from RefSeq and is a predicted model, not a curated record.